Molecule: non-coding RNA, 2859 nt
Organism: Anas platyrhynchos (mallard)
Lineage: Eukaryota; Metazoa; Chordata; Aves; Anseriformes; Anatidae
Source: RefSeq, a predicted model, not a curated record
CAGGCCUCUUGCAGUGAUGAUGAACAAAGUCUACCAAAAACUACUGCUUCCAGCAGGGCAAGAAGGCUCCCGUGAACAUUGGAAGUUGUAACUCAGAAUCUUCUAAAUAGUACCUAAGCAUCCUCUUAACACACACACUGGUAUGAAUUCGUAACUGGCCAGGGGCUUGAGUCUGUCCCAGUACUACCACAGUCAACAACCACUCUACUUCCCAGCCUCUGAAAGAUCUGUGCUAGCUAUGACUGACAAGGUUUGGGUAAAGAAGAGACUGUGCAAAUGUUUAAGGGGAGAAAAGAGGUAUGCCUCAUUUAAAAUAGCAGGUUGUCUUUAAUACAAGUAGUGGAGAUGAAUUAAUGAGUUAAGUGCUUACUCUGGCUUAGCACAAUAAAACCACUAAGCCAUUCAUUUAGUGUGUGAGAAGCCUCACUGUCUGCCAAGGUGAAAGAUUCCUGCAGUGCUGUGAUAACAUUUUGAAGGCCACAAUUUUUAAAAUGUAAAUGGGCAAAUGUGUUUGAGUGGGACAAAAUAAAUCCCUUGUGUCAAAGCAGAUUAUGGUAUAGGCAUUUUCUCUAUGGAUAAUUUGUUUCCCCUACAGAAAAGUAACAUCUGUUGUGACAGAUUCAUGCAUAUGCUCACCCUUGCUUCAGGGUAAAGAUCCGUAGUGACACUGACUUGCGAAAUACAAUGAAGACACAGGUUAGUGAGAUAGUGUGACAUGUCACGCCGACACCAUGCAGGUAGAGCACAGAAUCAGGCUUGGCAUGGCCUUUCCUGUAUAGAAGUCUUACAAAAUUGGAGAGGAGACAGGAGGCAAGGAGAUGAAAAGCUGAAAGAAUCUGGACCUGGGCAAUUACCUGAGCUGACGUGAGUUGGAGUGCUGUGUAAAUAGUGCUAUUAAGAGCCAGAAGAGAAAAUCGGACUGAGUGGCAGCCAGGCGAUCCAUUGGCAGUGUGGUGCCAACAGCAGAGGAACAGUGCAUUGACUACUGUCAGCUUGCUCCACUUGCAACUCAAGAGAGACGAGAGACUUCCUGAUGGUAUCUGAGCAGCUGGGCAACUCAGUCUGAAUGGACUCAAAUAUUGCAGAGGAUUUGCCGAAAAGGACAAGACAGCCUACUUUGCCUAGGUGAGCUCAUGCACAACAUGAUACACAGAUCUACAAAGCCCCCACCUUAGUAUACUCUGGCCAUACUGUUCUGAAGAGUGAGAAGCUGGUUGUAUGAAUAUGAGCUUGCUUACAUCUCUCAGCAUGUUUUUUUUUUUUUUUUGGUGGUGGUUUUUUUUUUCUUUUUCUUUUAAAUUCAUUUGUAAAACAGAUCAUUCCAAGUUCUUGUUAAAAUUAUGACUCAUGUUUUACAUUUAUCUAUGCUUGCUCUUCAGGAAAAUAAUUAUCCUCAGGGAAUCCUAAUCAAAAUCUCUCUGUAAGUAGUACCAAAGUGAGGUUUUUAGUUUUCUUUUAUGUGUGUGUUAAGGGGCCAUUUUUUCAUGUAUUUUGUUUAGAUACUGCUGAUAACAUUAUUUUUAACAUAAAGACUUUUUUUCCAUCUCCCUUGAUUUGCCUGCUUUAGAGUAAAUAUACGCUGCAUACAGAUUACACGAAAAUUAUCCUUGGGAUUUAAUUCCUCAUUUCUUCUUAUCUCACAAGUCUAGGCCUCACCCUCAGUUCCAUUUCAGAAGAAAAUCUGCAGCGCCUUUUGUCCUGUUAUCAACGUGUGAUAAUGACAGACUUGGAAAGUUCUGUGCUGCUGCCUUCUCAGACUUUCCUUUGGCGUCACUUUGGGGAUAGAGAUCAGAGCCAGUAGACAACGCCAGCAACCAGGGCAACCAGGAGAAGACCAACUACAAUGCCCACUAUUAGCUUUGCCUGGUCAUUAACCUUUUCGCUAUUGUCAUCUGAAGCAAAGAAGAAAAGUUAAUGAGGUGACCUACGAUAAAGAAAAGUGUUACGCCAUUUCUAAAGUAUUGCCAUCAGAAACAAGAAAAGGAGUCAGAAUGUCAAAAUGAAAAAAAAAAAAAAAAGAGUAAGCAUUGUUUUUAAAAACAAGGUAAAAAAAAAAUCACUUAGAACUUCAAGGAAGUCAUAUUCUUAGUCAAUCAUGGCACUAAGCUACUUCAAGUCCAAGGGGCUGUGGAAAUUGUUCAGUGAGACUAUGUAGGUCUUAAACUGAGAAAAUAAAUAGCAAGGGUUAUGGAAAUGGAAAGCCAUACAUACCAGUUCUAUCCUCUGGCUCAUCGUACUCUGGGAUACUUACUGAAAUGAGAAAUGUUAAAAUUAAUAAUAAAAUGCGUUAUACCUGAAAUUCACCUUUAAUUGUCUAUUUACAGCAAUGACAGAAACACUGAAACUUAAUGCAGUAUUUGCCCAAUGAGAUAAUUAAUCUCUGAGCAAAAGUCAUUGUUUUGUAACUAUAAUGUAUCCAGUUCAAGAAUCUUACUCAAAAACUGUAAUAUUAAUCACAGAAAUAUUUCUGACUACAUAUUUCUAACUAAAUGUUUCUUUUUCACAAAUAGUAGUUUCUCGCCCCAUUUCAUCACUGAAAACUGACAUUCAGAAUCAAGUCAUCCCAGUAAUGAUAAACUGGAAUUUGGGGACUAAAAGAUGAUUAUGUAGUAAUAAAGACUUUUGUCUUUUAUAAAUGACAUUUUAUGCAUACAAAAUGUAUAUUGUUUUGUACUACUGUUAAUAAUAUUGUUUUGUACUGUUAAUAAUAGUGUUAAUAAUAUUAUUUUGUAACAUUUUUAUAAUACUGUUUUGUAAUAAUAUAAAAUACGUGCAUACAUGAUAUAGCUAGCCUUCAUGACUUUCUUGGCUAAGUGACUUCAUCCAGAAAACUACCAAUAAAUUCAGUGUACUACAAAA